RNAcentral lists this unclassified non-coding RNA (399 nucleotides) under Patiria miniata (bat star). RNAcentral describes it as "uncharacterized LOC119742753, transcript variant X1". Lineage: Eukaryota; Metazoa; Echinodermata; Asteroidea; Valvatida; Asterinidae. The record is from RNAcentral.
AGCAGUUGUGAUCUGCGAUGGAGGCCGAUGUUUCGAAAGAGCUUGCAUGCCCAUCGAACGACACAUGAGGGCAGCAUUCAACAACAUAAACACGCGACUGUACGGCGCUGUCUUCCGAGUGGCUGAAACUGUACCUGUUGUUACCUUUGCCCCUUUCUUAUUACUGUGUGUUUUUGGUCCAACGUAAUAACACCAAAAUGGAUGAGAAGCAGGGACCAACUUCUGAUGAUGUCCCAACUGGGGAGGUAACGUCAACCACAGUUACAGAGGGUGAUGUUGUCAAGAUGCCAACAGAUGUGGCCAUCACUAUGGAUGCUAUUCCCAAUGAAGAUGAGGAGGACAAAUCCAAAGGGAGACAUCAGUUCCCAGCUCAACAGCUCCACCAGUGAUCUUCCUGAC